ACAUUUCAUGAGGAACAGAAGAGCUCGUCACUGUCUAUAUGAAGAGUACCUGCAGGAAACUGCUUCAAUUGAUCUGUAGCAGAAAUUUUCUUUGUUAUGUGGGGUGCCUUCACACUCCUCUCACUCAUCUUUUCAGCUUGCAGUGUGCAAAAUGCUGAAAUCAUAGGAUCAUAGAAAUUUCAGGUUGUAACGGACCUCAGAUGGUCUAGUCCAACCCGCUGCUUAAAGCAGGACCAGCCCCAACUAUGUAAUCCCAGAAAAGGCUUUACUUAACCUUGGGGUGAGUGGGGUAUGUAGGGAGAGCCUGGGAGAGAAUGGGGAGGGUUCCUUCCAGGUGCCUGCUCCCACAGCUGGGUGUGGGGUAGGGGCUCCCCCUGGCCUGGUGCAAGGUCUCCUCAGCUCUGCUUUGCUUUGCUGCCAUGCAGGAGAAUUUCCUCCUCCCUGUCUCUGUGCCUCUGUGCAGUGGGACAGAGCAGAGAUCAGGAAACCCAUGCCAGGUGCUUGCCCCCACAGCCAGGUGUGGGAUGCUUGUCCCCACUGUGGGGGCUUCCCCCUGCCCAGCAUGGCUCUCCCAAGUCCUGCUCUGCCCCACCAUGCAGAGAAGGGGAGUGGGCAAUUCUCCUCUGCUUCUGUGCAGCAGCAAAACAAAGUGGGACUCAGGAGAGACAAGUUGGGUCGGGGGAAGACCCUGUAGUGGGGGCACCUUGCACCCUAUGCCCAGCUGUGGGGGAACACACCUGGCAUACCCAUGCCCAUAGCCCCUGGGGCAGGGAGUACAUACCUGCUCUGCUCUGUGCAGUGCUUUUAAACUCCCUGCCAAAGUGAGAAAUUGAACAACCUGAUUGGCUGAGCCCCAGCAGAAGGUCAGGCUGUAAUAGGCUGCCCCUGGAUACACAUGGGGAUUCAGUGUUUCUGAGGCUCUGCUGCCUUUCUUCUCUGCUCUUCAGGUGCCAUCUUGUCCAAUACACCAGGGACUAACUCCGAAACCUGCAGAGCUAACAACUCAAAGCUGCAGCAGCGCAGACCUAUGACUCCAUGGACCAGAGAGGAGUUAAAACAAUGUACUGACUAACCGUGAUUCUCUGCAGAGAGUUUCAUCUACCUUAGCUUUGAGUGAAAAUAACCAAAGGCAGAGACAGCAAGCAUCUCUGAAAGAGGCUUGACAAACCAUGGAGACCUUCAGAGGAGAAUCCAGUAACUAUAAAGUUUGCACAGCGGUCAUUCAAUAGGCUUCUAUGUGGAAUUUUUGGAAAAUCUCCAGAUGAGGAGUUCAUAGUCAUUUUAAAUUAUUUGCUGAGAAUCUGUAUUAUGUGCACAGCUUCCUGCUGGUAUAAAUUAGGAUAGCAUCACUGACUUAAAGGGAGAAUCUGGCUCAGUCUUUCCACUGUGUUUAUUUCUUUAAAUAAAGUAUGCAUUAGCUUAAAGUUAUAAUUAGCACCAUGCAAUAUUUUUUAAUAAAUAGUU
Alligator mississippiensis (American alligator) is the source of this 1464-nucleotide long non-coding RNA. RefSeq lists it as uncharacterized. The record is from RefSeq and is a predicted model, not a curated record. Lineage: Eukaryota; Metazoa; Chordata; Crocodylia; Alligatoridae. The transcript has 4 exons.